Molecule: ribosomal RNA, 518 nt
Filed under: uncultured bacterium
Lineage: Bacteria
Description: bacterial SSU rRNA
Rfam family: Bacterial small subunit ribosomal RNA
Source: RNAcentral
UUNAUCAUGGCUCAGGACGAACGCUGGCGGNGUACUUAACACACGCAAGUCGAGCGGUAAGUGCCCUUUCGGGGGUACACGAGCGGCGAACGGGUGAGUAACACGUGGGUAACCUGCCCUCAGCUCUGGGAUAAGCCCGGGAAACUGGGUCUAAUACCGGAUAUGACCUCGCAUCGCAUGGUGUGGGGUGGAAAGCCUUGUGCGGCUGAGGAUGGGCCCGCGGCCUAUCAGCUUGUUGGUGGGGUAGUGGCCUACCAAUGGCGACGACUGGGUAGCCGGCCUGAGAGGGCGACCUGGCCACACUGGGACUGAGACACGGCCCAGACUCCUACGGGAGGCAGCAGUGGGGAAUAUUGCGCAAUGGGCGAAAGCCUGACGCAGNCGACGCCGCGUGAGGGAUGACGGCCUUCGGGUUGUAANCCUCUUUCAGCUCCGACGAAGCCUUCGGGUGACGGUAGGGGCAGAAGAAGCACNCGGNCAANUACGUGCCAGNAGACGCGGUAAUACGUAGGGUGCAA